Molecule: ribosomal RNA, 37 nt
Filed under: Phytophthora infestans T30-4
Lineage: Eukaryota; Oomycota; Peronosporomycetes; Peronosporales; Peronosporaceae
Description: 18S ribosomal RNA
Source: RNAcentral
ACUAUGCCGACUCGGGAUUGGCAGUCGUUUACUUUAA